AUGACGAAGCGCAAGCGCUCAGAGGAGCGGGGCUGCCGCACUGUCAGGCAGCUGCGGCCGGCGAAGGAGCCGAAGCAGCAUCUCUACCUGCUGCUGGAAGACUGGGAGAGGGGAUACGGCAUCCACAGGCUGGACGUCGAAGCUUUCGACUCCGACACCAACACCGGCCUGCCGCCCAAGCGCUUCACACCGCACGUGAGGUCCUGGAACUUCAUCUCCCACGCCUCCAAGAUCUUCGCCAUGAAGGCCAAGGAGGCCAGCCCUGCCAUCCCGGCCUUCGACACGCGCACGAUGAGCCUCACCAUCUGCCCGUGGCCCUCCUGCCGUGCCGACUACCUGGAAGACCGCACCGAGUACCUUGCCAGCCCGCCACCCUACGACAGCAGCGCUCCUUGGUCUUGGUCCACCAUCAACUCCCCGCUGCCUUUCUACAACGUGCAAAUCGCGUGUUAUGCCUUGCACCCGGACGGCCGCACCCUCUUCGUGUCCGCCGGCCGCCGGCGCAAGAAUCGGCCGAGUACAUUCUCCUUCGACGCCGAGCGCCUCGAGUGAACCCACCAUGGCAACUGGCUAUUGCCUUUUGCAGGCCAAGCCUACUUCGACGCCGAGUUGGAGGCGUGGGUCAGCCUCGCCCGCGACAAGGAGAGCUCUGGCUACCUCUGUUCCUGCGAUGUGCCACCAGUCGAUGCCAAGGUAACGAGCCCUCCGUCUUGGAAGCUUGGCCAGGAUAAGAUGUUCUGCAAGGAGUUUGAGUUGCACCGGGGCGCCAAGCUUGUCUACAUGGGUGACAGCAAGUUCUGCCUCAUUGAGUCCCUGUUCCACAAGGAUGACCAGCAUUUGCAGAUGGAUCUCGGCGAAAACUGCCCGCCUAGCCGGCGCCGCGUGCUCCACAUGACCACAUUUGGCCUCAAGUACAAUAAAGCAGGAAACUUGCAGAUCAUGCCGCGACAAGCUCACGCGUGCAUGAUGUUUAAGCGGCAUCAUGAUCUCACGGAGCCAUCACUGGAGCCUUUGGCAUUCUAG
Molecule: ribosomal RNA, 1023 nt
Filed under: Triticum aestivum (bread wheat)
Lineage: Eukaryota; Viridiplantae; Streptophyta; Magnoliopsida; Poales; Poaceae
Description: partial small subunit ribosomal RNA
Source: RNAcentral